GGAGCAACGCCGCGUGAGUGAAGAAGGCUUUCGGGUCGUAAAACUCUGUUGUUGGAGAAGAAUGGUCGGCAGAGUAACUGUUGUCGGCGUGACGGUAUCCAACCAGAAAGCCACGGCUAACUACGUGCCAGCAGCCGCGGUAAUACGUAGGUGGCAAGCGUUAUCCGGAUUUAUUGGGCGUAAAGCGAGCGCAGGCGGUUUUUUAAGUCUGAUGUGAAAGCCCUCGGCUUAACCGAGGAUGCGCGUCGGAAACUGGGAAACUUGAGUGCAGAAGAGGACAGUGGAACUCCAUGUGUAGCGGUGAAAUGCGUAGAUAUAUGGAAGAACACCAGUGGCGAAGGCGGCUGUUCUGGUCUGUAACUGACGCUGAGGCUCGAAAAGCAUGGGUAGCGAACAGGAUUAGAUACCCUGGUAUUCCAUGCCGUAAACGAUGAAUGCCAGGUGUUGGAGGGUUUCCGCCCUUCAGUGCCGCAGCUAACGCUUUAAGCAUUCCGCCUGGGGAGUACGACCGCAAGGUUGAAACUCAAAGGAAUUGACGGGGGCCCGCACAAGCG
This 554-nucleotide ribosomal RNA is filed under the name Lacticaseibacillus paracasei. RNAcentral's name for it is "bacterial SSU rRNA". It matches the Rfam family "Bacterial small subunit ribosomal RNA", at positions 388 to 931 of the family's 1533-position model. The record is from RNAcentral. Lineage: Bacteria; Bacillati; Bacillota; Bacilli; Lactobacillales; Lactobacillaceae.